This 292-nucleotide ribosomal RNA is filed under the name uncultured bacterium. Its description in RNAcentral is "partial 16S ribosomal RNA". The record is from RNAcentral.
GGACUACAGGGGUUUCUAAUCCCGUUCGCUCCCCUGGCUUUCGCGCCUCAGCGUCAGAGGGCGUCCAGCACGCCGCUUUCGCCACCGGCGUUCCUUCGGAUAUCUACGCAUUUCACCGCUCCACCCGAAGUUCCGCGUGCCCCUCCGCCCCUCGAGGCCCCCGGUAUCCGCGGCGCUUCCCCGGUUGGGCCGGGGGCUUUCACCGCGGACCUCGGGGCCCGCCUACGCGCCCUUUACGCCCAGUGAAUCCGAACAACGUUCGCACGGUUCGUCUUACCGCGGCUGCUGGCAC